GAAGACAAUGAGAAUUAAGUUUUUCUUACAUCGGUGUGGCGCGGAGAAUACAAAGAAAUCAACGGAAGAUGAUUUUUUUUGCAUGGGCAAGCAAAGAAGAGUGCUAGGGAAGGGGGAACAAAUAGCCUCUAGUUUUCUCUCUUGUAGGGACAAAUAAUUGCCCUUCGAAGUUGAUUUAAUCCCCUACUUAAGGUAGGCUUAAAAAGGCUUUGGAUGUGAUUGAUUUCCCUUUCCUAGAAUAAUUUAAUUCCAAGUCCAAGUGAGAAUUUGUAUCAAAGUUGGAGAUCUCUACACCUGUUGCCCUUUCCUACGAGCAGCCCAGCAGGUGUGGAGGCAUUUGUGGAGUAAAAAAUAAUCAAGAAAAUUAUGGAGGCGACACGUGUACUUUUGAGUGAAAAAGGAUAAAUUACCCUCGAGGCACACCGAAACUUCUACACGCAAGCAAUGGACAAUCAUAGCACAAUCAAGGUCAAAAGUGAUCAAAAUAGGUAUUUAUUCAAAACAUAUUUCAUCCAUCCUCAUCAAAUCCUCCCCACAAGGUAACCUUCAAUUAUUCAUUCAAAAUAGGAUUAAUUACCUAAAUUAAUUGAUUAAUUUCCUAAUUGAUUGCAAGAUAUUAUUUUGACAUAAUAUCUUGCAAUUACACCUAAAAAACACCAUAUGUGGCUGGUUCCCAUCUCUCCAAAAGGGGUCGGCCACACCCCUAUAAAUAUCACCUCAUUUCUCCAAAAACCUAAGUCUAAUUCUCCUGCAAAACUCUCCAAAUUUCUCUAAACACUUUCUCCCUCAAAUUCUAACUUUGGCAUCGGAGGUUUCUCGGACAAGGGCCCAUUGUAGGUGCAUUUUCGUCCAAGAAGAUGAAGACGGAAAUUUGCAUCCACACUAGUCAUACAAUCAUUUUGCAGCCAGGAGGAUCCUUUAAUCAUAUUAGUUCAUCGUACAUCGUACGGUAAAAAAUUAUUGUAAAUUUUUUAUUUAAAAUUGAAUAUAAACAGUAUUUGACAAAAACUAGCUGCACAAUGUACAAUGAAUGGAUGUGAUUGGAAGAUCUCUAAGACUUUCACAAAGAGGAUUUGGCGAGGAUCCUCUCUCAUUUUGCACCACAUCUGAAUAUCAGACAAUGUGACAACCUAUCCCAAAUUUUAUGGUUUUAUAAAUUUUUAAAGGUCAUUAUUCAUUAUCCUAUUCAUUUAUUAUGGUUAUUGUUAUUUUUACUAAUGGAGGAGUUGGAAAAAUUGGGGAAAAAUAAAAAGAAAAAAGGAAGAAGAGGAAAGCUGCCUGAUGGCAGUGGAAUGGAGAAGGAGAAAAAGAGAUGGGCACUGCCUAAUCAGGAAAUGAGGAGAGUGAGGGUGACAAAUGGGAGAGAAGAACCAGGAGGGAAAGGAGGGAGGCGAGGAGCACCCAACCAAUCUACCCGUGCGCCCAAAACAACCCGGUUUCGACCCGGUUCCAAUUCCGGCUAAAUCCCACCAUUUUUCCGACGAAAGUCAUUCAUCCUUCACCUAGAAAUUAUCCCUAGACCUCCCCUCUUCCAUAUUCAUCCAAAAUUUGAAGGAAUUUGGUGGAAGUUUGGUGGAAAAACCACCAUGGGUGCCGC
Molecule: long non-coding RNA, 1597 nt
Filed under: Malus domestica (apple)
Lineage: Eukaryota; Viridiplantae; Streptophyta; Magnoliopsida; Rosales; Rosaceae
Description: long non-coding RNA (MDOM_LNC021197)
Source: RNAcentral